AUAGUUCAGUUGGUAGAGUGUUUGCCUUGCACACAGAAGGCCUUGGGUUCAAUCCCCAGU
This 60-nucleotide transfer RNA is filed under the name Urocitellus parryii (Arctic ground squirrel). Its description in RNAcentral is "Spermophilus parryii (Arctic ground squirrel) tRNA". It matches the Rfam family "tRNA", at positions 7 to 64 of the family's 71-position model. Rfam says of the family: Transfer RNA (tRNA) molecules are approximately 80 nucleotides in length. Lineage: Eukaryota; Metazoa; Chordata; Mammalia; Rodentia; Sciuridae. RNAcentral also lists the same sequence under 1 other name. The record is from Rfam by way of RNAcentral.